This 769-nucleotide ribosomal RNA is filed under the name uncultured archaeon. Its description in RNAcentral is "bacterial SSU rRNA". It matches the Rfam family "Archaeal small subunit ribosomal RNA", at positions 53 to 828 of the family's 1478-position model. The record is from RNAcentral.
GUGAGUCAUUGCAGUAAUGCAAGGCAGACGGCUCAGUAACACGUAGUCAACCUACCCUAUAGACGGGGAUAACCUCAGGAAACUGAGGAUAAACCCCGAUAGAUCAUUAUGCCUGGAACGGUUUAUGGUCCAAAUGAUUCGUCGCUAUAGGAUGGGACUGCGGCCUAUCAGCUUGUUGGUGAGGUAAUGGCCCACCAAGACUAUUACAGGUACGGGCUCUGAGAGGAGUAGCCCGGAGAUGGGUACUGAGACACGGACCCAGGCCCUAUGGGGCGCAGCAGGCGAGAAAACUUUGCAAUGUGCGAAAGCACGACAAGGUUAAUCCGAGUGAUUCCUGCUAAAGGAAUCUUUUGUUAGUCAUAAUACCACUAACGAAUAAGGGGUGGGCAAGUUCUGGUGUCAGCCGCCGCGGUAAAACCAGCACCUCAAGUGGUCAGGAUGAUUAUUGGGCCUAAAGCAUCCGUAGCCGGCUUUGUUAGUUUUCGGUUAAAUCCAUAUGCUCAACAUAUGGGCUGCCGGGAAUACUGCAAAGCUAGGGAGUGGGAGAGGUAGACGGUACUCCGUAGGAAGGGGUAAAAUCCUUUGAUCUAUGGAUGACCACCUGUGGCGAAGGCGGUCCACCAGAACACGUCCGACGGUGAGGGAUGAAAGCUGGGGGAGCAAACCGGAUUAGAUACCCGGGUAGUCCCAGCUGUAAACUAUGCAAACUCAGUGAUGCAUUGGCUUGUGGCCAGUGCAGUGCCGCAGGGAAGCCGUUAAGUUUGCCGCC